AAAUAAGCUGGAUACUGCUGACAAUGUUUGCUCCUGCCCCAGGCCAGAGGCAACCAACCAAUGCACCCUUUCUUGGACUACCAGUUUAAUAUUGUUUGGUCUAGCUUGAAAUGUGGCAGUCAUGACGUCAACAUUUACAAAAAGCUGUACUUUAUAGCAAGCUUUAAUAGACAUCAUUCAAGGUUUGGACAAGAUUUCUUAUAAGGCAAUCUGCUCCAAAUCGAUCCCAGAUCCUCCAAUGCCCAUUUUGGGUGAGCUAUUUCCAUCUUUAUAACCAUACAGAUGUGUUCCAUGUGUAGCCAAAUGAAAUCAUUGUGAUGAAGUCUGACAUGAAAUGCUUGAAAGUUGUUACAAAUGUCUGUUAAAAGAUUGUGUGCUGUUAAUGUGGAUUUUGAGAUAUUAAAGGAUCAACUCACAGAAAUGUAUACAGUAUAGCUUGAGUUCACAAGACAUGAGAAAGUGCAGAAUCAAAUCUGUUUUCAAGCUUCAUGGGGUUAAUUUUACAUAGAUAUGCUGUGGACCAGGUGGCGUGUUCCUCUGCUGUAUGGUGUGGAUGAGAGAAGAGAAGGGGAAAAGGAGAAGGAAAGACUUCUAAGCUAGUAGAAACGGGAAAUAGUGACCCUGCAUCCUUCUUUCUCCCCUUUCCUGCUUUGCAUUCAGAAUCCCCUCUGAAUGGCUGGAAUCCACUGGUUUGGUGGGAGGGUGUGUUGGGCCUGGAAGAGGAAUAGCUGAUCUGUGUAGCAUGCUGCCCUCCAGAGUUGGUAGAUUUCCAGAUUUCUUGCUCCAACCAGCACUAACUUGCACUAAGUUUUUUCCCCUUGGAGGUGGAAAGACUGUGGCCCAGCUGCAAUAAGGGAAGUGAACAGCUGCAAGGGUCCAGGAGGAAUUUCAUUGCCUCUUUCCGGUGGGGAAAGACUUAAUUUUAAGAUAGCUGAUUCUGCUCUAUUUUUCUAAUUUGAAUUGGAUUUAUUGCCCAUGUUGUACUGUUCUUGACUAAUGACAAUCCAAACUUCCUCACAUUGUCCUGCCAAUGUGCCAGAACCUUGUUUCACAGUUUCAGGGUAACUGCACCUAGAUCUCCUCUCUGUGGUCCAUUCCAGGAAUAUCCAGUCAGAUUUCAGGCCUCCAGCUUUCACCUGUCUCUGGGCAGGGGUGUGCGCUCCACUCAGUGGUGCUGGAACAAUUUGUAUAGUGAGGAUGCUGA
This 1204-nucleotide long non-coding RNA is filed under the name Chrysemys picta bellii (western painted turtle). Its description in RNAcentral is "lncRNA (ENSCPBG00000026818.1)". Lineage: Eukaryota; Metazoa; Chordata; Testudines; Emydidae. The record is from RNAcentral.